UGUAGGUGUUUAUGGAAUUUGUGCUAGGUAAUAUUUGCUGCACUUGCGGUUACAAAUUUGCUUCGAUUUCUGCUCCAAUUUGCACCUUUAAUUGCCUUUGGCGGACUGCUAUCUGCUCCUAGUUGUGGUUGCCAUUUUCUUCAAAUUAUUGCUGCCAUUGAUGCUAUUUUAUUUCCUACCUAAACUCCUUUACUUUACUACUACCAAUUAUUUGCUUUAAGGUUAGUUUAUUAAUAGAUUUUUUUUCUUUCUAUUAAAAAAAAUUGGAUGUUUGUAAGGCCCAAUUUUGGCCCAGGCUAAAUAGUCCCAAACAAAACAAUUGUUAACUGUCCUUCUUACAACUUAAGACCCCAAAGCCAUUACAUCAAUCCAAACCUCAAACUCAAUUAAACUCAGCCAAAUUUACAACCCAAUAGACCCAAACUAAAAAACCCUCACCCAAAAAUGGCCCAAAACCUAAAGCCAACUCAGAAACGAAACCCUAGAGGCUCCCAUGUGCGCCGCUCAUCCUCGGGCGCAUCACCUGCCCCUCGUCCCAAGGUCCAUCUGCGACCUUGCACCGAAGAGGAAAAUUUCUUCAUCGUUGACUCCUCAAGAACCUGCAAAGGAAGACCGAGAAAGCAAAAACAGGACAGAAGAACUGUAGCAGAAAUAAAAAGAAAAUAAUAGUAGCGUAAAAUCUUCUGUAAAUCGGCUAUAAAGCCAAAGAAUCCAUCGUAUUGUUUUUUACACGAACACAAACUCUUGAAUAGAAAAAAAGAAAGCAAUCAGAAGCUAAUACUUCAAAGGUGCCAUUUUUAUUUUUUUUGUAUUACUUGGAAUAAAAGUAUGAAUAAUAUAUAUAUAAAAACCUCAUAGAUGGUUCGUUCUCCGUCGUGGUUGAGCACUUCCAAUAACCCAAACUUCACAAGACCCACUCGGGUUCCGACGAGGGUUGGAAGAGAGUCGAGAAUUGAGAUCGUUUUUUUCGCUUUGCGAUUCACCCUUUUUUCGUUUUUCUUUGAUAUUUUUUUUUAAAAAAAAUCUAACCUAGAUCUCUAAAAGGAAGGGGAUACGAAAGGCCACGGCUGAGCCAUGGUCGAGGCUCGCCGGAGCCAGGCUCGAUGCUAGGCCAGAGCAAUAGUCGGACCAGAGAGAAAAGAGUAAAAGCUUUUCUUUUUUUUUGAAACUAAGGUUAAAAUAAGG
RNAcentral lists this long non-coding RNA (1185 nucleotides) under Gossypium barbadense (sea-island cotton). Its description in RNAcentral is "long non-coding RNA (GBAR_LNC001723)". Lineage: Eukaryota; Viridiplantae; Streptophyta; Magnoliopsida; Malvales; Malvaceae. The record is from RNAcentral.